CUGGCGGCGUGCCUAACACAUGCAAGUCGCACGAGAAAGUGGAGCAAUCCAUGAGUAAAGUGGCGCACGGGUGAGUAACACGUGAAUGAUCUACCUCCGAGUGGGGAAUAACCUAGAGAAAUCUGGGCUAAUACCGCAUAACACUUACGAGUCAAAGCAGCAAUGCGCUUGGAGAGGAGUUCGCGGCCGAUUAGUUAGUUGGCGGGGUAAUGGCCCACCAAGACGAUGAUCGGUAUCCGGCCUGAGAGGGCGCACGGACACACUGGAACUGAAACACGGUCCAGACUCCUACGGGAGGCAGCAGUGGGGAAUUUUGCGCAAUGGGGGAAACCCUGACGCAGCAACGCCGCGUGGAGGAUGAAAUCCCUUGGGAUGUAAACUCCUUUCGAUCGGGACGAUUAUGACGGUACCGGAAGAAGAAGCCCCGGCUAACUUCGUGCCAGCAGCCGCGGUAAUACGAGGGGGGCAAGCGUUGUUCGGAAUUAUUGGGCGUAAAGGGCGCGUANGCGGUUUGACAAGUCUGAUGUGAAAUCUCUGGGCUCAACUCAGAGUCUGCAUUAGAAACUGUCGGGCUUGA
This 577-nucleotide ribosomal RNA is filed under the name uncultured bacterium. Its description in RNAcentral is "bacterial SSU rRNA". It matches the Rfam family "Bacterial small subunit ribosomal RNA", at positions 36 to 645 of the family's 1533-position model. The record is from RNAcentral.